Molecule: ribosomal RNA, 494 nt
Filed under: uncultured bacterium
Lineage: Bacteria
Description: partial 16S ribosomal RNA
Rfam family: Bacterial small subunit ribosomal RNA
Source: RNAcentral
GACGAACGCUGGCGGCGUGCUUAACACAUGCAAGUCGAACGGUGAAGCGCCUUCCUUUUUGGUGGGUGUGGAUGAGUGGCGAACGGGUGAGUAACACGUGAGUAACCUGCCCCCUUCUUCUGGAUAACCGCAUGAAAGUGUGGCUAAUACGGGAUAUUCUGGGUCUGUCGCAUGAUGGGUCUGGGAAAGAUAUUGUUUCGGUGGGGGAUGGGCUCGCGGCCUAUCAGCUUGUUGGUGGGGUGAUGGCCUACCAAGGCGGUGACGGGUAGCCGGCCUGAGAGGGUGGACGGUCACACUGGGACUGAGACACGGCCCAGACUCCUACGGGAGGCAGCAGUGAGGAAUAUUGCACAAUGCACGCAAGCCUGAUGCAGCGACGCCGCGUGAGGGAUGGAGGCCUUCGGGUUGUGAACCUCUUUCGCCAGUGAAGCAGGCCUGCCUAGUUUGUGGGUGGGUUGACGGUAGCUGGAUAAGAAGCGCCGGCUAACUACGUG